RNAcentral lists this ribosomal RNA (460 nucleotides) under uncultured bacterium. RNAcentral describes it as "partial 16S ribosomal RNA". It matches the Rfam family "Bacterial small subunit ribosomal RNA", at positions 338 to 795 of the family's 1533-position model. The record is from RNAcentral.
CCUACGGGUGGCAGCAGUGAGGAAUAUUGGUCAAUGGGCGCGAGCCUGAACCAGCCAAGUCGCGUGAAGGAUGACGGAUCUACGGAUUGUAAACUUCUUUUGUAAAGGAAUAAAGUGAGGUACGCGUGCCGUUUUGUAUGUACUUUAUGAAUAAGGAUCGGCUAACUCCGUGCCAGCAGCCGCGGUAAUACGGAGGAUCCGAGCGUUAUCCGGAUUUAUUGGGUUUAAAGGGGGCGUAGAUGGUUUGUUAAGUGAGUAGUGAAAGUUUGGGGCUCAACCGUAUAAUUGCAAUUGAAACUGGCGGCCUUGAGUACAGUUGAGGCAGGCGGAAUGCGUGGUGUAGCGGUGAAAUGCUUAGAUAUCACGAAGAACCCCGAUUGCGAAGGCAGCCUGCUAAGCCGCCACUGACACUGAUGCACGAAAGCGUGGGGAUCGAACAGGAUUAGAUACCCGUGUAGUC